This 63-nucleotide transfer RNA is filed under the name Bostrichoidea sp. 8 KM-2017. RNAcentral describes it as "tRNA-Phe". The record is from RNAcentral. Lineage: Eukaryota; Metazoa; Arthropoda; Insecta; Coleoptera.
UUUAAUGUAGCUUAUGAAGAGUUCAAUAUUGAAGAUAUUGAGGAGGUUUAUGACCCGUAGACA